UACGUAGGGGGCAAGCGUUGUCCGGAUUUAUUGGGCGUAAAGAGCGUGUAGGCGGUUUGGUAGGUCCGUUGUGAAAACUCGAGGCUCAACCUCGAGACGCCGAUGGAAACCAUCAGACUAGAGUCCGGAAGAGGAGAGUGGAAUUCCUGGUGUAGCGGUGAAAUGCGCAGAUAUCAGGAAGAACACCCGUGGCUAAGGCGGCUCUCUAGUACGGUACUGGACGCUGAGACGCGAAAGCGUGGGGAGCGAACAGG
Molecule: ribosomal RNA, 254 nt
Filed under: uncultured bacterium
Lineage: Bacteria
Description: partial 16S ribosomal RNA
Rfam family: Bacterial small subunit ribosomal RNA
Source: RNAcentral